Molecule: non-coding RNA, 2986 nt
Organism: Salvelinus sp. IW2-2015
Lineage: Eukaryota; Metazoa; Chordata; Actinopteri; Salmoniformes; Salmonidae
Source: RefSeq, a predicted model, not a curated record
UGAGAGCAGCUCCCACACAGACAGUUUUUACGCGGAGGAAUGUACUAGAAACCUAGCUGACAGACUCACGGGAUUUAGGAAUGACAGACAUUUUCAUUUUAGGAAAGUAACCUAACAUUCUUUUGUGUUUUCCCCGGGACAUCCGAGGACUGCCACAGAGUUCUCUGGCACGCAGAAAGUAUAAUCUUCAACCGGUGAGGACAGAGGGACACCGGAGGAAUCAUUCCAAGCAACUCCGCUCAAACAAUUUGCUUGGAGUUCUAUUUGCAGUAGCAUGUCUUGUGUCACUGGUGUCACAGUCUUAUGCCACAGGUGGUGUGAAUACAUCUCUCUCUACAGCUCAGAGCAACUUGUCUCUGUGUUUCAUCUGCAAGGAUGAGAGGUGUCAUGAUGUGAAAAAGAUUUUCAACUCAAUGAGAGAUGACAAACUUUGGAUGCAAAGUACUGCAAUGUCUGCCCUUCUUGGCUGUUCCCUGACCUCGUGUCCCUCUUCUGGGAAGUGUGUGCCAUGUGUUGAUGACCGCAAUAUCUACAUUGUGUGCCUUGACAUGCCCAAGGAUCUCAAACUAGAUCUGGAGGACGGUGAUGGCAACUUCUUUUCCAACACUGAAGCCACGUGCCCUAGACUGAAGGAAGCUGGACCUGUUGGUCGAGCUGGACACAACAGUGGAGUCAGAGGUCUUGCUGGGKAUCGUGGUGAGUAAAGAAAASRCACAGAACAGCAAUGCUCGAGCUUCAGCGUGCGRYCCGAGAAUAAAGAUACAKACUCUGAAUACUUGGACGUGGUUGUGUGUGCGAGAGAGACUUUGUUGUUCGUAGAGGACAUUCUACAAAUCACAUCUGAAGAUCAGCAAUGGGUAGUAGUGUAUAUCAGUGUUAGAUGAUUCAUUUUCUUUGUGUUUAACUGCUCUCCCUGUCCUCUUCUCCCACACACAUCCAACUGCCCCCACUUCAAUCUCUGAUGGCACUGGGGUCUUUAUACGAAGGAGAAAUGAUCGCUAUUGGAAUGUUAGCAGCUGCCUUCAUCUUUGUCAUUGUUGCUUAGUACAGAAGCAAGACCAAAUCAGUGACCUGCUAAAUAAGAGGGCAGAGAGGAGAGGGAAUGCAAAGACGGGAAGAACAGCAAGUCAUACCUACUUACUGCAACAAAGAAAGCCAUUUGGAAGCAUGGUUUGAUCAGGAGGCUCACUUGAAGACAGUGGAUCUACUACCAUCUUGAUAUCUUAACUCUGGAGAGACUUCACCAAUAGAAUCCAGUGAGCCAAGGCCAUUACAAUAUCCUACUGCUCAUCAGCCACCUCCUUUAUAACAUCCAACAUGUCAUCCUUAGUUUGAUUUGAUUAGGCACAAUACAAGCCGGGAUUUCUGGCUGCUCUAUUAGCAGAGGUAUUUCUCUGUUGUGGUUGUCUAUUCGUAUGUUUUUAUGUAUGCUGUCAAUGUUUUAUUAUUAUUUGGAAAAACCCUACCCUGCCCCCCCUUCCUCCUGAGAAGUGAUCAGCAGCCAUACCACACUCUGACCCCACCCGCUACCUGAUCAUCCUGUCCUCUACCGUUACAGCCUGCUGAAAACAGGAAACUACCGUAGAAAUGUGUAUAUUUGCAUAGCAAGUCGGUCAUACCAGACUGUUUAAUUAAAUAGAAUGUUCUGGAUCCCCUCUCUGACACCAGCCUGAAACAUGUGACCUCACAGUAUAUCUACAGUCUGUGCCAAAUGCUUAAGAACUAUUAGAGAAGAAUAAACACACUUCACAAUCACCACUAUAAUCUAAAACGUUAGACUCACAACUUUCACAUUGCCAGAGACGUUGGAAAACAAUGAGCAGACAGCUGUGAAUAUCAGAACAAAUAAACAUGGUAAUAUCCUGAAUGUGUAGCUUGUAGAGAGACACAGGAAGUGUGGUGUAGAGACACAUCUCCAGGACUACACCCGGGAAACCCCUACAGUCUUCCAAUGAUGGCCCAAGGUUAAGUUGCUGCUGUGUGUGUGAGAGAAAAAAUGUGAGUUCUGUCUGAGGAGAACAGGGCAGGUGAGGCUACAGAACACAGAGGUGUUACAGCUCGUUGGAAACAUCACUAAACUGUUUAGUUAAAUAGGAGGUUCUAGAUCCCCUCUAACACCAGUGUGAAACAUGAGACCUCACAGUGCCUACUGCUCCUUGCAGUGCAAUAAGUGGGCUGCUCUACUGCUACUUCUAUUUCUAGCUUGAAAUACACUUGUUCACGUUACCAUACUAGACCUUAUUGGUGCUUUACAUGUAUAAGGAAUGUAUAUGUUAGGGUCAAUAGAGGGCGGAUAACAACUAGGUGUAUGGAAAGUUACUGACUGACAAUGGGGAGUGCAGAAAUUGUACAUUCUUUCAAAACAUGCUAUUGAUAAAUCUCAUGGCUCGUAAAGAGGGAGGCACAGGGCAACAGUCUUGUUUCAGUCACUGAAAAGGUAGGACAGUCGUAGAGUAGUGAGGAGCGAGGGAUUCGGCCCGAGGUCAGGUCAGAUGAAGUGAGAAGGAACAGUCCUAUUACACACACACAUACUUCGACUCCCACAAAUGUUCUAUUAUCAGGCAGGGCCAUGACUACACCAGUGAGAGGAACCAAUUAAGUUCCUGACUUAUGUGAAGGAUGAUUUUGUUCUCUUUUUAACAAAAAUAUGCCUUAUAGAAAUAGGACAUGUUAAUCACAAAACAUAGCGUGAUUGCAGAAAAGCUGUUGAUAAUCUAGGGUGUCGAAUGUGCUAACCACGAGGUUGAGACAAGAUAGAAAAUUCUCAGCUACACAACAAACACUUCCGGAUAUCUGGAUCCUGUGUGCUGUGCGGCUGGGACCAGCCUGGGCACCACCGAUAGGCUAGCAAGUUUAAACCACGCUAAGCCUCUACUGUGAUAGGCCAACUCUGAAGUUGGAACUACAUCAGUCACAGUAUAAAAGAAGAUGUCUGUACUAUUUCAGUCAGUUCCCUGCUUUACCCUGCGUGGUGAUACAGUGAACC